This 429-nucleotide ribosomal RNA is filed under the name Bacteroidota bacterium. RNAcentral's name for it is "Bacteroidetes bacterium partial 16S ribosomal RNA". It matches the Rfam family "Bacterial small subunit ribosomal RNA", at positions 355 to 776 of the family's 1533-position model. The record is from RNAcentral. Lineage: Bacteria; Pseudomonadati; Bacteroidota.
UAGGGAAUCUUCCGCAAUGGACGCAAGUCUGACGGAGCAACGCCGCGUGAGUGAAGAAGGAUUUCGGUUCGUAAAACUCUGUUGUUAGAGAAGAACAGCGCAUAGAGUAACUGUUAUGCGUGUGACGGUAUCUAACCAGAAAGCCACGGCUAACUACGUGCCAGCAGCCGCGGUACUACGUAGGUGGCAAGCGUUGUCCGGAUUUAUUGGGCGUAAAGCGAGCGCAGGCGGUCAAUUAAGUCUGAUGUGAAAGCCCCCGGCUCAACCGGGGAGGGUCAUUGGAAACUGGUUGACUUGAGUGCAGAAGAGGAGAGUGGAAUUCCAUGUGUAGCGGUGAAAUGCGUAGAUAUAUGGAGGAACACCAGUGGCGAAGGCGACUCUCUGGUCUGUAACUGACGCGGAGGCUAGAAAGCGUGGGUAGCAAACAGG